RNAcentral lists this ribosomal RNA (501 nucleotides) under uncultured bacterium. Its description in RNAcentral is "bacterial SSU rRNA". It matches the Rfam family "Bacterial small subunit ribosomal RNA", at positions 24 to 518 of the family's 1533-position model. The record is from RNAcentral.
UCAGGAUGAACGCUAGCGGCAGGCUUAACACAUGCAAGUCGAGGGGCAGCGGGAUGUAGCAAUACAUUGCCGGCGACCGGCGGAUGGGUGCGUAACGCGUAUGCAACCUACCUUAUACAGGGGAAUAACCUUUCGAAAGGGAGACUAACACCCCAUAGUAUUGAUUUAAGGCAUCUUAGAUUAAUUAAAUAUUUAUAGGUAUAAGAUGGGCAUGCGUAUGAUUAGCUAGUUGGUAAGGUAACGGCUUACCAAGGCGACGAUCAUUAGGGGUUCUGAGAGGAAGGUCCCCCACACUGGUACUGAGACACGGACCAGACUCCUACGGGAGGCAGCAGUGAGGAAUAUUGGUCAAUGGGCGCAAGCCUGAACCAGCCAUGCCGCGUGCAGGAAGACGGCCUUAUGGGUUGUAAACUGCUUUUACAUAAGACUAACCGUAUAUUUGCGAAUAUACCUGAAUGUAUUAUGAGAAUAAGAAUCGGCUAACUCCGUGCCAGCCGCCGC